Molecule: long non-coding RNA, 253 nt
Organism: Thunnus maccoyii (southern bluefin tuna)
Lineage: Eukaryota; Metazoa; Chordata; Actinopteri; Scombriformes; Scombridae
Exons: 3
Source: RefSeq, a predicted model, not a curated record
CAGUGUUAAAACUCCCGCGGCUAACGUUUAGCUGUUUGGUGUUCCUGUGCAGAUUUUAGAGAGCUCAACGACAUUUACAAGUGUGGUGUCAACACAUGAAUGAUCUCAUCACUGUUUUUAAAGACCCUGGACCCAGAAGCAGAAGAAAUACUGAGACUCUUUACUUAAACGCUUGAAAGCACAUUUCCAGCCGUCCUACCUGCACUCUGGACUCCGUCAGGCCGAUCCUCAGAGCCAGCUCCUCCCGCAUGAA